This 1687-nucleotide ribosomal RNA is filed under the name Klebsiella pneumoniae. RNAcentral describes it as "partial 23S ribosomal RNA". It matches the Rfam family "Bacterial large subunit ribosomal RNA", at positions 1271 to 2925 of the family's 2925-position model. Lineage: Bacteria; Pseudomonadati; Pseudomonadota; Gammaproteobacteria; Enterobacterales; Enterobacteriaceae. The record is from RNAcentral.
UGCUGGAGGUAUCAGAAGUGCGAAUGCUGACAUAAGUAACGAUAAAGCGGGUGAAAAGCCCGCUCGCCGGAAGACCAAGGGUUCCUGUCCAACGUUAAUCGGGGCAGGGUGAGUCGACCCCUAAGGCGAGGCCGAAAGGCGUAGUCGAUGGGAAACAGGUUAAUAUUCCUGUACUUGGUGUUACUGCGAAGGGGGGACGGAGAAGGCUAUGUUAGCCGGGCGACGGUUGUCCCGGUUUAAGCAUGUAGGCUGGUUAUCCAGGCAAAUCCGGAUAAUCAAGGCUGAGGUGUGAUGACGAGGCACUACGGUGCUGAAGUAACAAAUGCCCUGCUUCCAGGAAAAGCCUCUAAGCAUCAGGUAACAUCAAAUCGUACCCCAAACCGACACAGGUGGUCAGGUAGAGAAUACCAAGGCGCUUGAGAGAACUCGGGUGAAGGAACUAGGCAAAAUGGUGCCGUAACUUCGGGAGAAGGCACGCUGGUGUGUAGGUGAAGCCCCUGCGGGUGGAGCUGAGACCAGUCGAAGAUACCAGCUGGCUGCAACUGUUUAUUAAAAACACAGCACUGUGCAAACACGAAAGUGGACGUAUACGGUGUGACGCCUGCCCGGUGCCGGAAGGUUAAUUGAUGGGGUUAUCCGUAAGGAGAAGCUCUUGAUCGAAGCCCCGGUAAACGGCGGCCGUAACUAUAACGGUCCUAAGGUAGCGAAAUUCCUUGUCGGGUAAGUUCCGACCUGCACGAAUGGCGUAAUGAUGGCCAGGCUGUCUCCACCCGAGACUCAGUGAAAUUGAACUCGCUGUGAAGAUGCAGUGUACCCGCGGCAAGACGGAAAGACCCCGUGAACCUUUACUAUAGCUUGACACUGAACAUUGAGCCUUGAUGUGUAGGAUAGGUGGGAGGCUUUGAAGCGUGGACGCCAGUCUGCGUGGAGCCAACCUUGAAAUACCACCCUUUAAUGUUUGAUGUUCUAACGUUGGCCCCUGACCGGGGUUGCGGACAGUGUCUGGUGGGUAGUUUGACUGGGGCGGUCUCCUCCCAAAGCGUAACGGAGGAGCACGAAGGUUAGCUAAUCCUGGUCGGACAUCAGGAGGUUAGUGCAAUGGCAUAAGCUAGCUUGACUGCGAGCGUGACGGCGCGAGCAGGUGCGAAAGCAGGUCAUAGUGAUCCGGUGGUUCUGAAUGGAAGGGCCAUCGCUCAACGGAUAAAAGGUACUCCGGGGAUAACAGGCUGAUACCGCCCAAGAGUUCAUAUCGACGGCGGUGUUUGGCACCUCGAUGUCGGCUCAUCACAUCCUGGGGCUGAAGUAGGUCCCAAGGGUAUGGCUGUUCGCCAUUUAAAGUGGUACGCGAGCUGGGUUUAGAACGUCGUGAGACAGUUCGGUCCCUAUCUGCCGUGGGCGCUGGAGAAUUGAGGGGGGCUGCUCCUAGUACGAGAGGACCGGAGUGGACGCAUCACUGGUGUUCGGGUUGUCAUGCCAAUGGCACUGCCCGGUAGCUAAAUGCGGAAGAGAUAAGUGCUGAAAGCAUCUAAGCACGAAACUUGCCCCGAGAUGAGUUCUCCCUGAGACUUUAAGUCUCCUGAAGGAACGUUGAAGACGACGACGUUGAUAGGCCGGGUGUGUAAGCGCAGCGAUGCGUUGAGCUAACCGGUACUAAUGAACCGUGAGGCUUAACCUUACAACGCCGAAG